Molecule: ribosomal RNA, 1475 nt
Filed under: Candidatus Pelagibacter sp.
Lineage: Bacteria; Pseudomonadati; Pseudomonadota; Alphaproteobacteria; Candidatus Pelagibacterales; Candidatus Pelagibacteraceae
Description: bacterial SSU rRNA
Rfam family: Bacterial small subunit ribosomal RNA
Source: RNAcentral
AAACUUGAGAGUUUGAUCAUGGCUCAGAACGUACGCUGGCGGCACGCCUAACACAUGCAAGUCGAACGAAGUAGCAAUACUUAGUGGCAGACGGGUGAGUAACAUGUGGGUAUCUGCCCUUUGGCCUGGAAUAACACGAGGAAACUUGUGCUAAUACCGGAUAAGUCUUUACGGAGAAAGCUUUAUGCACCAUUGGAUGAGCCCGCACUUGAUUAGUUUGUUGGUGGGGUAAUGGCCUACCAAGACUGUGAUCAAUAGCUGAUUUGAGAGGAUGAUCAGCCACAUUGGGACUGAGACACGGCCCAAACUCCUACGGGAGGCAGCAGUGGGGAAUCUUGCACAAUGGAGGAAACUCUGAUGCAGCGAUGCCGCGUGAGUGAAGAAGGCCUUUGGGUUGUAAAGCUCUUUCGUCGGGGAAGAAAAUGACUGUACCCGAAUAAGAAGGUCCGGCUAACUUCGUGCCAGCAGCCGCGGUAAUACGAAGGGACCUAGCGUAGUUCGGAAUUACUGGGCUUAAAGAGUUCGUAGGUGGUUAAAAUAGUUGGUGGUGAAAUCCCAGAGCUUAACUCUGGAACUGCCAUCAAAACUUUUUAGCUAGAGUAUGAUAGAGGAAAGUAGAAUUUCUAGUGUAGAGGUGAAAUUCGUAGAUAUUAGAAAGAAUACCGAUUGCGAAGGCAGCUUUCUGGAUCAUUACUGACACUGAGGAACGAAAGCAUGGGUAGCGAAGAGGAUUAGAUACCCUCGUAGUCCAUGCCGUAAACGAUGUGUGUUAGACGUUGGAAAUUUAUUUUCAGUGUCGCAGCGAAAGCAAUAAACACACCGCCUGGGGAGUACGACCGCAAGGUUAAAACUCAAAUGAAUUGACGGGGACCCGCACAAGUAGUGGAGCAUGUGGUUUAAUUCGAAGAUACGCGCAGAACCUUACCAACACUUGACAUGUUCGUCGCGACUCUAAGAGAUUAGAGUUUUCGGUUCGGCCGGACGAAACACAGGUGCUGCAUGGCUGUCGUCAGCUCGUGUCGUGAGAUGUUGGGUUAAGUCCCGCAACGAGCGCAACCCUCACUUUUAGUUGCCAUCAUUAAGUUGGGCACUCUGAAAGAACUGCCAGUGAUAAGCUGGAGGAAGGUGGGGAUGACGUCAAGUCCUCAUGGCCCUUACGUGUUGGGCUACACACGUGCUACAAUGGCAUCUACAACAGGAAGCAAAACGGCAACGUUAAGCAAAUCCCGAAAAGAUGCCUCAGUUCGGAUUGCACUCUGCAACUCGAGUGCAUGAAGCUGGAAUUACUAGUAAUCGUGGAUCAGCGUGCCACGGUGAAUACGUUCCCGGGUCUUGUACACACCGCCCGUCACACCAUGGGAGUUGGUUCUACCUUAAGGCAAGGUUUCAAACCCUUGACCACGGUAUAGUCAGCGACUGGGGUGAAGUCGUAACAAGGUAGCCGUAGGGGAACCUGCGGCUGGAUUACCUCCUUU